RNAcentral lists this transfer RNA (73 nucleotides) under Ixodes scapularis (black-legged tick). RNAcentral's name for it is "tRNA-Ser for anticodon GGA". Lineage: Eukaryota; Metazoa; Arthropoda; Arachnida; Ixodida; Ixodidae. The record is from RNAcentral.
UCUUGGUUAGCUCAGUCGGUAGAUUCCUCCACUGGAAAGGGGGAGGACCCUGGUUCGAUACCAGGACCAGGCG